UAUUUUUCUUGUAGGGUCUUUACCUUACAGUAUAAAGCACCUUGAGGCAACUGCUGCUGUGAUUUGGUGCUGUAUAAAUAAAAUUGAAUUGAACUGAAUUAAAACUUUCUAGGUUGUCUACCCCCCUUUUUGCAUCAUCAGUCACUGUGUGAAAUUGCAAAUGACCAAGAAAUGUGUUUUGGUCUUGUGGCAAAUUGAAACAUUGUGAUCGGUAUGAUAUUCCCUAAAACUAUUGUAAGUUUCUGGGGGGUCUAUUAUUAGGUUUCCUGAAGAAGUCAUUAUCCUGGUGUAACCCAGCUGGAGAAACGGGUAAAAAUAAGAUUAUCUUCAUAAGGUAUUUGUUUAGUUUCAGAAUCAUUCUUUUAUUUGUUUUAUUUUAUUGUCACAAGAAGUGGAAAAAUGUGUUUAUUUCCACACUUCCUGCUGUGCCUAGCAGGAGCUUUUAUUUUGAAGGUUAACAGGAAGUUGUGUGUUUUACAUGGCGUAUUGAUACCAGCCAUUCGAGGAAAAGAAAAAUCCGAAGCUAUCUUGAUUAGCAGCGGAAACUGCCGCGGUUACAGAAGCAAGUCUUCAUAAAAGUUGUCAAAAAGUGUUCAGAUGUUAUCGGCUAACAUUUCAAUAGUGAGCUGAAUGUUAGACAGAGCUGCCGAAACCAGCAGAGGUGGCGGCUAAGUUAAUAGUGUUCCACGUGUCUUCGUAAGCUAACUGUUUUAUGUUCAAUGAUCGUAAUGAUGAUGCUAAUCAUAGUAGUUAAUGCAUAUUUUUCGACUGUAUGUGUCAUGUCAAUGAUGAGCGUUUGUGUUAUGAGGGAACAAAUGCAAUUUGUUAGCUUUUGUGCCGAAUUUAGUGUAACGUAUGUUCUGAAGAAAUUUAAGCUUUAACAUUUGUAUUUUAUUUGUCUAAAAAUUGUGUUGCGUGUGUGUCUAUUGCAACUAUGUUGUUUAGACAGAAGUUCUAACACGAGUUACAAUUUAAUCUGUUAACUGAAGAGUACCACAAUUUUUCAGGAUGUCAGGUCUUUUAGUGAGCUUUGAGCUCCACGAGAAAAGACCAGUGAUUCCAAUUGAUGGCGAGCCUCCCAGUGUGAUUUCCAGGAUCCAGAUCUGCACAACCAGUCAGACGGCCAAAGGUUUAUCUGGUUUCUGGUAGGAUUCCAUCAGUCACCCCGACUGGCAACGGUGAACAGAUAAAAAGAGUGCACUCUAGACUAUAAAAACACUAAGUGUGAAACUUCACUGGACCCCCUUUUUGCUGACUGACAGAUCAUUACAGAUCAUUCCCUCAUUCGAUCUGUGUUUUGACUUGACUGACCCUCUACUCUAUAAACUCUGAGGAACAAACUGAACUAUAAGGUUGCAACCUAACAAAAUACUUUCAAAGGGACAAUUUCAAUGAUUAAGGACAAUGCAUUUUAUUUCUAUUUUUAUUUUAAGGGCCCUAGUUGUUGUUUUGCUGUGAAACUGUUAUUAUUGAAGCUAAAGUCACAGUUAACUGAAAUUUCUGUGUGCUAUGAUUAUUCGCACUCAUGUCCAGCUCCUCCCCGAACCUAGAGUGAGGUGUACUUACCCGGGAGCGGGUUACACUAUUCAUUGCUCUCUCAGACUGUGAUGUCUGGGUUCUCCGUGCCCAUUCACAGCCUUUUCUCCUUGAUCGUAAUAUGAUUUUUUAUUUUUUUUUUUUUGAACCAGAGCGAGCUUUUUCUCUGCUUUGUCAGUGGGUUCCUUGUUAUAUUUUGCUGUCAAAAGAAGUAAGUUAUUUUGAGUAGUUGGGUCUUUAUUUUUAAUAAGCUCAAGUUCCAAGAGUUUAAUCUGUUUUUCUGAAAUUUCCAUUUAAUUUUUUCUCUUUAAAUUUUGGAGCUUGUAAAGCUGAUUAAUUCUCCUCUAAGCUUUAGAUGCCUCCCAGCUUAUGUUGGAGCUAGUUUGGUCAGUAUUUGAUCCAAAAUAGACGUCUGUUCUGGUUUUAACAUAUGUGAUAAAUUCAGCAUCCAUCGUG
This is a long non-coding RNA of Oreochromis niloticus (Nile tilapia), 1992 nucleotides long. RefSeq lists it as uncharacterized. The transcript is spliced from 2 exons. The record is from RefSeq and is a predicted model, not a curated record. Lineage: Eukaryota; Metazoa; Chordata; Actinopteri; Cichliformes; Cichlidae.